UUAACUUUGGUAAUUAUUCAUCACUUCAAUUAGCAGAUCAUCUUCUAUAUAAAAAUCCAUCCUACAUUCAUUUGUUCCAUCAAACAUGGAGAUUAACAUGGAUGACAAACUAUCCAAAACUCAUAUCGAGCUUGUAACUGAGGCAUCCUUUCCACCACCACCACAAUUCAGCUCUCUGAAGAUCAUUAAAAACACCUUUAUUUCAAUCUUGGCAAGGUUUCAUGCCGGAUAUUUUAGGAUAAGCAUGUCUCUUUGCAGCCAAGCCCUGCUGUGGAAAAUCCUUAGAGAUCAAUCAGCAGAAGAUGCACAUGCUUUUCGUCGUGUGUUUCAAAUGCUACCCUCCACAGCUUUUCUUCUACUUUGGUCAAUAGCUCUUUUCACAGUAACCUCACUCUCUCUUCUUUACAUACUUAGAUGUUUGGUUCACUUUGAGAUGGUGAAGGGUGAAUUCCUCCACCAUGUAGGAGUGAACUAUCUCUUUGCUCCUUGGAUUUCUUGGCUUCUUUUGCUUCAAUCAUCUCCCUUUUUCACCCCAAAAACUAUAUACUACCUUGUACUAUGGUGGGCUUUUGUGGUUCCAAUGUUGGUUCUUGAUGUCAAAAUCUACGGCCAGUGGUUUACCAAAGGAAAGAGGUCUUUAUCAACAGCCGCGAAUCCGACAAGUCAGCUAUCGGUGAUAGGGAACUUGGUGGGAGCCAGGGCGGCAGCCCAAAUGGGAUGGAAAGAGACAUGUAUUUGCAUGUUUUCUUUGGGCAUGGCACAUUAUCUUGUGCUUUUUGUCACGUUAUAUCAAAGAUUAUCUGUGGGAAAUUGCCUACCAACAGUGUUAAGCCCAGUUUUCUUCUUAUUCAUUGCCGCUCCCAGCAUGGCAAGUUUGGCUUGGGACUCAAUUUCUGGAUGCUUUGAUAACUUGGCAAAGAUGCUUUUCUUUCUCUCUCUUUUCCUCUUCUUAUCCCUGAUUUCAAGGCCGACCCUGUUCAAGAAAUCCACAAGAAAGUUCAACGUAGCAUGUUGGGCAUAUUCUUUCCCAAUGACAGUCCUGGCAUUGGCUUCAGCUGAUUAUGCACAGGAGGUGAAUGGUGCCAUUGCACAUGGGGUAAUGCUAGUGUUAUCUUCGCUCUCAGUUCUGGUAACUCUAGGUUUGAUGGUGUUCACUGCACUUAAUACUAGCAGGCUUUUCGUACCCAACGAUCCUGUUUUAAGUCCUAGCAUUAGUAAUCCUGAUGAGGCCACAUGAUUGAAUAGAAGUUUAUGAUUUCAAAUUUCCAAUUGUAAAUACGAUAUUAUAAUAGAAUGUUCAGGAAGGAAAAAUGAG
RNAcentral lists this unclassified non-coding RNA (1315 nucleotides) under Hevea brasiliensis (rubber tree). The record is from RNAcentral. Lineage: Eukaryota; Viridiplantae; Streptophyta; Magnoliopsida; Malpighiales; Euphorbiaceae.